This 468-nucleotide ribosomal RNA is filed under the name uncultured bacterium. Its description in RNAcentral is "partial 16S ribosomal RNA". It matches the Rfam family "Bacterial small subunit ribosomal RNA", at positions 28 to 507 of the family's 1533-position model. The record is from RNAcentral.
GACGAACGCUGGCGGCGUGCUUAACACAUGCAAGUCGAACGGAAAGGCCCUGCUUUUGUGGGGUGCUCGAGUGGCGAACGGGUGAGUAACACGUGAGUAACCUGCCCUUGACUUUGGGAUAACUUCAGGAAACUGGGGCUAAUACCGGAUAGGAGCUCCUGCUGCCUGGUGGGGGUUGGAAAGUUUCGGCGGUUGGGGAUGGACUCGCGGCUUAUCAGCUUGUUGGUGGGGUAGUGGCUUACCAAGGCUUUGACGGGUAGCCGGCAUGAGAGGGUGACCGGCCACAUUGGGACUGAGAUACGGCCCAGACUCCUACGGGAGGCAGCAGUAGGGAAUAUUGCACAAUGGGCGGAAGCCUGAUGCAGCAACGCCGCGUGCGGGAUGACGGCCUUCGGGUUGUAAACCGCUUUCGCCUGUGACGAAGCGUGAGUGACGGUAAUGUGUAAAGAAGCACCGGCUAACUACGUG